UGUGAAUCAUCGAAUCUUUGAACGCACCUUGCGCUCCUUGGUAUUCCGAGGAGCAUGCCUGUUGAGUGUCAUUAAAUUCUCAACCUUUAUCAACUUCUGCUGGAUAAUUGGCUUGGAUAUGGGGGUCUUUUGCUGGCUUCUUCACAGAUGGUCAGCUCCCCUUAAAUGCAUUAGCCGGUGCCCCGCGUGGACUGUCUAUUGGUGUGAUAAUUAUCUACGCGUGGACAUCUGCAAUCAUAUGGGUUUGCACUGCUUCUAACCGUCUGUUUAUUCAGACAAUACAUGACAAUUUGACCUCAAAUCAGGUAGGACUACCCGCUGAACUUA
This 327-nucleotide ribosomal RNA is filed under the name uncultured Hebeloma. RNAcentral's name for it is "eukaryotic LSU rRNA". The stretch from base 1 to 71 matches the Rfam family "5.8S ribosomal RNA", at positions 83 to 154 of the family's 154-position model. Lineage: Eukaryota; Fungi; Basidiomycota; Agaricomycetes; Agaricales; Cortinariaceae. The record is from RNAcentral.